RNAcentral lists this ribosomal RNA (363 nucleotides) under Ensifer meliloti. RNAcentral describes it as "Sinorhizobium meliloti bacterial SSU rRNA". It matches the Rfam family "Bacterial small subunit ribosomal RNA", at positions 995 to 1357 of the family's 1533-position model. The record is from RNAcentral. Lineage: Bacteria; Pseudomonadati; Pseudomonadota; Alphaproteobacteria; Hyphomicrobiales; Rhizobiaceae.
GGGCAGUGGAGACAUUGUCCUUCAGUUAGGCUGGCCCCAGAACAGGUGCUGCAUGGCUGUCGUCAGCUCGUGUCGUGAGAUGUUGGGUUAAGUCCCGCAACGAGCGCAACCCUCGCCCUUAGUUGCCAGCAUUUAGUUGGGCACUCUAAGGGGACUGCCGGUGAUAAGCCGAGAGGAAGGUGGGGAUGACGUCAAGUCCUCAUGGCCCUUACGGGCUGGGCUACACACGUGCUACAAUGGUGGUGACAGUGGGCAGCGAGACAGCGAUGUCGAGCUAAUCUCCAAAAGCCAUCUCAGUUCGGAUUGCACUCUGCAACUCGAGUGCAUGAAGUUGGAAUCGCUAGUAAUCGCAGAUCAGCAUGC